Hemicordylus capensis (graceful crag lizard) is the source of this 1079-nucleotide long non-coding RNA. RefSeq lists it as uncharacterized. Lineage: Eukaryota; Metazoa; Chordata; Lepidosauria; Squamata; Cordylidae. The record is from RefSeq and is a predicted model, not a curated record. The transcript has 2 exons.
UGUAACUGCAGAGCCAACCAAAGACGCUGCUGGUCUCUCUCAAAGAAGGAAAGUAAAACAUUUUGUAUAAACCAACCCUUUGCUGUUUGUUCUGUUUGUGUGUGAUUUGUUCCCCUUGGUCAAGUGUUUCUCUCUCUCCCCCCAUACCCCCAUGACCGUGUGUGUACAUGUGAGAGAAGUCCCACCGUGUGUGUGUGUGUGUGUGAGAGAGAGAAAGUGAGUUUUAAGCUUCUUCUUUUAAAUCAUUUUCAAAGUAUGCCAAAAUUGUUCUAGCACAAAUUUGUAAGAAAAGCCCUCCCCAUCCCACCUUCUAGUGAGGAAAUUAGUCAGUACAAAUGUAUUAAAAGCUUUAAAAAAUAAUGGGGAGGGGGAGGAAUGCUUUGACAAAAUGGCUGUUUAUAGCUCUAAUCUGGUCUCUCUGUUUCUCCCCCCUCUCCCCUUAUUAAAAAUAUUUAUAUGCUGCUUUUUUAGCAACAGAGUUCUCAAAAUAGCUUAAAUAGCAAUAUAUGAGAAAAUGGUUCUCUCUCAACAUGUUUCCCCUUUGAAUAAUUGCUGUUUUGUUUUGCUUUGUGCUUGUAACAUGCUCCCCCACCAAAAGUCUAUUUUUGUAUACUUGCUUCAAAAAAAAGACUUUGCAAAUCAGAUCACCUCCGUAAGUGAGAGACGAGGGAAGAGUGGCAGGAUUAUCCAUACCAAAUCUGGUAUUGGCAGGCAGUUUUCCAACGAGGAUAGGACUUUCUAGUGCCAUGCAGACCACAAGGGAAGCCCACAGCAUGAUCAGCAACAGUGACCUAUAGUACUUCCAGCUGCUCCCCAUGGGGUUGGCCCAGCCUACUUGCUUCAGAUAGACUCCUGCGGCACCUUUGUAAGGCCAAUCUCAGGCAGUCAGGUAACAAGGGAAGACACCCAGCAUAGAAAUGGUCAUGAAGAACACCAGCCCUGCUAUUUUGCCCUCUGUCAUGAAAUCAAAGGCACAGGAGCCCUGCUGGGUUAAGAAAGCUGGUAACCCCAUUCAUCUCUCUGUUUCAGAACCAACUUCAUCUAAAAUGUUGUUGAAUAAAAGUUUUCACUUUGUCAGA